This 492-nucleotide ribosomal RNA is filed under the name uncultured bacterium. RNAcentral describes it as "partial 16S ribosomal RNA". It matches the Rfam family "Bacterial small subunit ribosomal RNA", at positions 29 to 507 of the family's 1533-position model. The record is from RNAcentral.
AGUGAACGCUGGCGGUAGGCCUAACACAUGCAAGUCGAACGGCAGCACAGUAAGAGCUUGCUCUUACGGGUGGCGAGUGGCGUACGGGUGAGGAAUACAUCGGAAUCUACUUUUUCGUGGGGGAUAACGUAGGUAAACUUACGCUAAUACCGCAUACGACCUACGGGUGAAAGCAGGGGAUCUUCUGACCUUGCGCGAUUGAAUGAGCCGAUGUCGGAUUAGCUAGUUGGCGGGGUAAUGGCCCACCAAGGCGACGAUCCGUAGCUGGUCUGAGAGGAUGAUCAGCAAAACUGGAAGUGAGACACGGACCAGAGUACUACGGGAGGCAGCAGUGGGGAAUAUUGGACAAUGGGCGAAAGCCUGAUACAGCAAUACCGAGUGGGUGAAGAAGGACUUCGGGUUGUAAAGCCCUUUUGUUGGGAAGGAAAAGAAGCAGGUUAAUACCCAGAUGUUCUGACGGUAACAAAAGAAUAAGCACCGGCUAACUUCGUG